CCCUUAGAUGUUCUGGGCCGCACGCGCGCUACACUGAUGCAUUCAACGAGUUUCUUCCUGGUCUGAGAGGAAUGGGUAACCUUUUGAAAGUGCAUCGUGAUAGGGAUAGACUAUUGCAAUUAUUGGUCUUCAACGAGGAAUUCCUAGUAGGCGCAAGUCAUCAGCUUGCGUCGAUUACGUCCCUGCCCUUUGUACACACCGCCCGUCGCUCCUACCGAUUGGGUGUGCUGGUGAAAUGUUCGGAUCGGCCGUUUGUCGCGGUUUCCGCGUCAUGUGGCUGAGAAGUUCAUUAAACCCUCCCACCUAGAGGAAGGAGAAGUCGUAACA
RNAcentral lists this ribosomal RNA (327 nucleotides) under uncultured eukaryote. RNAcentral's name for it is "partial 18S ribosomal RNA". It matches the Rfam family "Eukaryotic small subunit ribosomal RNA", at positions 1470 to 1796 of the family's 1831-position model. The record is from RNAcentral.